Molecule: long non-coding RNA, 1384 nt
Filed under: Phascolarctos cinereus (koala)
Lineage: Eukaryota; Metazoa; Chordata; Mammalia; Diprotodontia; Phascolarctidae
Description: lncRNA (ENSPCIG00000031579.1)
Source: RNAcentral
CUUUGCUUUGUCAUUUCAAGGAGAGUCAUUCAAGGUCUCUAAGUAAGGGAGUGAUAAAAACAUUGUUUUAGAAAGAUUAAUCUGGAAGCAGUGUGUAGGCUGGUUUAGAAGGGGAGAGUUUGGGAGUAGGAAUACCAGAACAGAAACUAUUAUAUUCAUCUGGCCAUGCACUAGGGCACUAGGGUAGGAACGGACAGGGGAGAAUGGAUUUGAGAGACUUUGUAAAGAAAGUCAACAUAGUAACAGAUUGGAUGUGGGAGAUGAGGGAGAAAGGAGGAAAUCAGUGAAAUUAAGUUUUUAGCCUGGGCAAUUGGGAGAAUAAUGGUAUCUUUUAAAGCAGGAAUUCUUAGUCUGUAGUUUAUAAAUUUAAAAAAAAGUUUUAAUAACUGCAUUUCAGCAUUAUUGGUUAAUUCUUUAUAUAUUUUCUGCAUUUAGAAACAUUUUUCUUUGAAGGGGUUUAUAGACUUCACCAGACUGCCAAAGAGAGAAUGCAGGGCAAGAGGUCUUUUUGUUUUCCUAAAAAGUGAUGUAAUGGAAAUCCUCUGAAGAACAGGGGGAAAGUUCAAGCCUGCUCAGUGUCUGCUCCAAUUCAUUGGGAGAAUCUGCAGAUUUGUGAGCGACAUCCUCACUCUUUCAUUGGACAUCUUUGCAGCUACCACUACACAUGGCUUCUACUCUAAGGCUCUAAUUCUUAGAUUGGUUUCUUUGUGGAAUGAAUAUGAGGAUUCCCCCUCCACCCUGAUUGAACAGAACAACUGAAAACAACCUCUGAGAGAAUGAUAUCAUGAAGAUGCAGCCAUUCUGGUCAGACCAAACCAAGAGAACCAGAAGAGCAGAAUAGAAGUCAUGUGGAAAAGAGAACUUUUCAGAGCAGCAAAGUUAAGUAACAUUGUUCUCCUCUGGGGAAGGAAUAACAAAGGAUCACAAAUUAUAGAACAUUAGAACUGAGAAGGAUCUUAGGGCUCAUCUAGUCCAACCCAGUAGGAGAGCUAGGACUAUCGAUCAAACACUAAACAUUUUUUAAAAGCACCUACUGUGUGCCAGGCACUGUACUAAGUGCUGGGGAUACAAAAAGAAGCAAAAGACAGUCACUGCCUUCAAGGAGCUUACAUUCUAAUGUCGGAGACAACAUGCUGACAAAUUUAUACAAAGAAAGCUAUAUGUAGGAUAAAUAGGAAAGAACAAGGGAAGGCACUGGGAUUAAGGAGUUGGGGAAGGCUUCUUAUGGAAGGUGGGAUUUUAGUUGGGACUUAAAUAAGGGUUCCUAAUAUCCAUUCUGGUGUUUCCCCCACUGUCUUGUGUUGCCUCCAAACUAGACAAGUAACACUGAGCCUUCUGUUUAGUGAACAAUAAAUUACUCCUUUGAAUGAAUGAAUUCUACUAA